RNAcentral lists this ribosomal RNA (1109 nucleotides) under Targionia hypophylla. RNAcentral describes it as "eukaryotic LSU rRNA". It matches the Rfam family "Eukaryotic large subunit ribosomal RNA", at positions 67 to 1119 of the family's 3401-position model. The record is from RNAcentral. Lineage: Eukaryota; Viridiplantae; Streptophyta; Marchantiopsida; Marchantiales; Targioniaceae.
AACAAGGAUUCCCCUAGUAGCGGCGAGCGAACCGGGAGAAGCCCAGCUUGAGAAUCGCGUGGUCAUUUAGGCGGCGCGAGUUGUAGUCUGGAGAAGUGUCCUCUGCGGCGGACCUGGCCUAAGUCCCCUGGAAAGGGGCGUCAGAGAGGGUGAGAACCCCGUCGGGCCAGGACCCUGCCGCUCCACGAGGCACUGUCAACGAGUCGGGCUGUUUGGGAAUGCAGCCCUAAGUGGGAGGUAAAUUCCUUCCAAGGCUAAAUACUGGCGGGAGACCGAUAGCAAACAAGUACCGCGAGGGAAAGAUGAAAAGGACUUUGAAAAGAGAGUUAAAGAGUGCUUGAAAUUGCUGGGAGGGAAGCGAAUGGAGGCCUGGUGUGCGCCCCGGUCGGAUGCGGAACGGCGUAAGCUGGUCCGCCGCUCGACGCGGGGUGCUGGUCAGCGUGGGCUUCUUUGGCGGGAUAAACGUUGGCGCGUGCAAGCCUUAACCGGUUUGCGGGUGUUGGCCGAUGCCGUCGGGGAGGCUGAGGAUCUUGAAGUGCGCGUCCCCUUUUUGGGGACGGGGCCUCCGUUMGGAGGUCACCUGCGUACUCGGGACGCUGGCGUUGUGGGCUUUUCAUCCGACCCGUCUUGAAACACGGACCAAGGAGUCUAACAUGCAUGCGAGCCGGUGGGCGGCAAACCCACGUGAGGCGCAAAUAACUUGACUGGUGUGAUCCUUUUUUUCUUUCGAGGAGAAGAGGUGCAACAUCGACCGACCAUGAUCUUCUGUGAAAGGUUCGAGUAAGAGCAUGCCUGUUGGGACCCGAAAGAUGGUGAACUAUGCCUGAGCAGGGCGAAGCCAGAGGAAACUCUGGUGGAGGCUCGUAGCGAUACUGACGUGCAAAUCGUUCGUCAGACUUGGGUAUAGGGGCGAAAGACUAAUCGAACCAUCUAGUAGCUGGUUCCCUCCGAAGUUUCCCUCAGGAUAGCCGGAGCAUGAGGAGUUUCAUCAGGUAAAGCGAAUGAUUAGAGGCCUCGGGGGUGAAACACCCUCGACCUAUUCUCAAACUUUAAAUAGGUGAGAUCCGACGGGGUUGCUUAAGUGAACCCCCGGCGGAGAAUCCAAACUG